Molecule: ribosomal RNA, 2918 nt
Filed under: Clostridioides difficile
Lineage: Bacteria; Bacillati; Bacillota; Clostridia; Peptostreptococcales; Peptostreptococcaceae
Description: 23S ribosomal RNA
Rfam family: Bacterial large subunit ribosomal RNA
Source: RNAcentral
UGGUCAAGUUAUUAAGGGUGCAGGGCGGAUGCCUUGGCACUAGGAGCCGAUGAAGGACGUGAUAAGCUGCGAUAAGCUUCGGGGAGUUGCACGUAAACUUUGAUCCGAAGAUUUCCGAAUGAGGAAACUCACUUAGAGUAAUGUCUAAGUAUCAUUAAGUGAAUACAUAGCUUAAUGAGGGGAACUCAGGGAACUGAAACAUCUAAGUACCUGAAGGAAGAGAAAGAAAUUCGAUUCCGUAAGUAGCGGCGAGCGAACGCGGAUUAGCCCAAACCAAUAAAGUUUUCUUUAUUGGGGUUGCGGACAUAUCAUAACGAAGAGGUAUCGUAAUUGAAGAGGUUUGGAAAGACCCACCACAGAAGGUAAUAGUCCUGUAUGUUAAACGAGAAGACUUCAGAUAUGAUCCAGAGUACCACGGGACACGUGAAACCCUGUGGGAAGCAGGAGGGACCACCCUCCAAGGCUAAAUACUACCUAGUGACCGAUAGCGUAUAGUACCGUGAGGGAAAGGUGAAAAGAACCCCGGGAGGGGAGUGAAAUAGAACCUGAAACCCUGCACUUACAAGCUGUGGAAGCACAUUUCUUGUGUGACCGCGUACUUUUUGUAGAACGGGCCAACGAGUUACGUUAAGUAGCAAGGUUAAGCACUUAAGGUGUGGAGCCGUAGCGAAAGCGAGUUUUAACUGAGCGUUCAGUUACUUGACGUAGACCCGAAACCGGGCGACCUACCCAUGAGCAGGAUGAAGCGAAAGUAAAAUUUCGUGGAGGUCCGAACCCACGAGCGUUGAAAAGCUCGGGGAUGACUUGUGGGUAGCGGUGAAAUUCCAAUCGAGCCCGGAGAUAGCUGGUUCUCCCCGAAAUAGCUUUAGGGCUAGCCUCAAGGUGAGAGAUACGGAGGUAGAGCACUGAAUGUCCUAGGGGGUAUUGCACCUACCGAAGACUAUCAAACUCCGAAUGCCGUCAUCUUAUACUUGGGAGUCAGACUGUGGGUGAUAAGAUUCAUAGUCGAAAGGGCAACAGCCCAGAUCGUCAGCUAAGGUCCCUAAAUGUAAGUUAAGUGGUAAAGGAUGUGGGAUUGCACAGACAACCAGGAUGUUGGCUUAGAAGCAGCCACUCAUUCAAAGAGUGCGUAAUAGCUCACUGGUCGAGUGAUCCUGCGCCGAAGAUUUCCGGGGCUAAAACUUACUACCGAAGCUACGGCAUCAGUAAUGAUGGGUAGGGGAGCUUCCCAUACGGGUUGAAGCAUGACCGUAAGGACAUGUGGACAGUAUGGGAGUGAGAAUGUUGGCAUGAGUAGCGAGAUGUGGGUGAGAAUCCCACAGGCCGUAAACCCAAGGUUUCCAGGGGAAGGUUCGUCCGCCCUGGGUUAGUCGGGACCUAAGCUGAGGCCGAAAGGCGUAGGUGAUGGACAACAGGUUGAUAUUCCUGUACUACCGAUAACCGUUUGAGAGAAGGGAUGACACAGUAGGAUAAGCUAAGCACACUGUUGGUUAUGUGUGCCCAAGCAUUGAGGCAGUCAAAGUAGGCAAAUCCGCUUUGAUAAUGCUGGGAUGUGAUGGGGAGCGAAAUUUAGUAGCGAAGUAGCUGAUUUCACACUGUCAAGAAAAGUCUCUAUCGAGGUUAAAGGUACCCGUACCGCAAACCGACACAGGUGGGUGAGGAGAGUAUCCUAAGGCCAGCGAGAGAACUGUUGUUAAGGAACUCGGCAAAAUGACCCCGUAACUUAGGGAUAAGGGGUGCCACCAUCAGGUGGCCGCAGAGAAUAGGCCCAAGCGACUGUUUACCAAAAACAUAGGUUUCUGCUAAGUCGCAAGACGAUGUAUAGGAGCUGACGCCUGCCCGGUGCUGGAAGGUUAAGGGGAUCUGUUAGAGCAAUCGAAGCAGUGAACUUAAGCCCCAGUAAACGGCGGCCGUAACUAUAACGGUCCUAAGGUAGCGAAAUUCCUUGUCGGGUAAGUUCCGACCCGCACGAAAGGCGUAACGAUUUGGGCACUGUCUCAACAACAGACUCGGUGAAAUUGUAAUUCCGGUGAAGAUGCCGGAUACCUGCGACAGGACGGAAAGACCCCAUGGAGCUUUACUGUAGCUUGACAUUGGGUCUUGGUACUACAUGUACAGGAUAGGUGGGAGGCUUUGAAACCAGGACGCCAGUUUUGGCGGAGCCAUCCUUGGGAUACCACCCUUGUAGUACUGGGACUCUAACCAUAGGCCAUGAAUCUGGUCUUGGGACACUGUCAGGUGGGCAGUUUGACUGGGGCGGUCGCCUCCCAAAAGGUAACGGAGGCGCUCAAAGGUUCUCUCAGUACGGUCGGAAAUCGUACGUAGAGUGUAAAGGCAAAAGAGAGCUUGAUUGCAAGACAUACAGGUCGAGCAAGGAUGAAAAUCGGACUUAGUGAUCCGGUGGUUCUGCGUGGAAGGGCCAUCGCUCAACGGAUAAAAGCUACCCUGGGGAUAACAGGCUUAUCUCCCCCAAGAGUCCACAUCGACGGGGAGGUUUGGCACCUCGAUGUCGGCUCAUCACAUCCUGGGGCUGUAGUAGGUCCCAAGGGUUGGGCUGUUCGCCCAUUAAAGUGGUACGCGAGCUGGGUUCAGAACGUCGUGAGACAGUUCGGUCCCUAUCCGUCGCAGGCGUAGGAAAUUUGAGAAGACCUGUCCUUAGUACGAGAGGACCGGGAUGGACGUACCUCUGGUGUACCAGUUGUUCUGCCAAGGGCAUGGCUGGGUAGCUAUGUACGGAAUGGAUAAGCGCUGAAAGCAUCUAAGCGCGAAGCCAACUUCAAGAUAAGAUUUCCCACCGUAAGGGUAAGACCCCAGAAAGACUAUCUGGUUGAUAGGUCGAAGGUGUAAGUGCAGCAAUGUAUUUAGCUUAUCGAUACUAAUAGGUCGAGGACUUGACCAAUAUUAUUUGAUGUUCACUU